CUACUUACCCGGCAGGGGGGCUACCAUGAUCACUAAGGUGGUUUUCCCAGGGAGAGGCUCAUCCAUUGCACUCCGGAUGCGCUGACCCCUGCGAUUUCCCCAGCAUGGGAAACGUAACUGCAUCAUUUAUGGUAGUGGGGAGGCUGCGUUUGUGCCCUCCCCUG
Onychomys torridus (southern grasshopper mouse) is the source of this 164-nucleotide small nuclear RNA. RefSeq annotates it as U1 spliceosomal RNA. The transcript has a single exon. The record is from RefSeq and is a predicted model, not a curated record. Lineage: Eukaryota; Metazoa; Chordata; Mammalia; Rodentia; Cricetidae.